UACGUAGGGGGCAAGCGUUGUCCGGAUUUAUUGGGCGUAAAGAGCGUGUAGGCGGCCGUACAGGUCAGCUGUGAAAACUCGAGGCUCAACCUCGAGACGUCGGUUGAAACCGUACGGCUAGAGUCCGGAAGAGGAGAGUGGAAUUCCCGGUGUAGCGGUGAAAUGCGCAGAUAUCGGGAAGAACACCCGUGGCGAAGGCGGCUCUCUGGGACGGUACUGACGCUGAGACGCGAAAGCGUGGGGAGCCGAACAGG
Molecule: ribosomal RNA, 254 nt
Filed under: uncultured bacterium
Lineage: Bacteria
Description: partial 16S ribosomal RNA
Rfam family: Bacterial small subunit ribosomal RNA
Source: RNAcentral